AGAUUGAACGCUGGCGGCAUGCCUUACACAUGCAAGUCGAACGGCAGCACGGGAGCAAUCCUGGUGGCGAGUGGCGAACGGGUGAGUAAUAUAUCGGAACGUGCCCAGUCGUGGGGGAUAACGCAGCGAAAGCUGUGCUAAUACCGCAUACGAUCUAUGGAUGAAAGCGGGGGAUCGCAAGACCUCGCGCGAUUGGAGCGGCCGAUAUCAGAUUAGCUAGUUGGUGGGGUAAAAGCCUACCAAGGCGACGAUCUGUAGCUGGUCUGGAGAGGACGACCAGCCACACUGGAACUGAGACACGGUCCAGACUCCGUACGGGAGGCAGCAGGUGGGAAUUUUGGGACAAUCGGGGACGUAC
RNAcentral lists this ribosomal RNA (358 nucleotides) under uncultured soil bacterium. RNAcentral describes it as "bacterial SSU rRNA". It matches the Rfam family "Bacterial small subunit ribosomal RNA", at positions 26 to 383 of the family's 1533-position model. The record is from RNAcentral.